AGCUUUGCGCAGUGGCAGUAUCGUAGCCAAUGAAGUUUAUCCGAGGCAUGAUUAUUGCUAAUUGAAAACU
RNAcentral lists this small nuclear RNA (70 nucleotides) under Cervus elaphus hippelaphus. It matches the Rfam family "U4 spliceosomal RNA", at positions 1 to 70 of the family's 138-position model. Rfam says of the family: U4 small nuclear RNA (U4 snRNA) is a component of the major U2-dependent spliceosome. Lineage: Eukaryota; Metazoa; Chordata; Mammalia; Artiodactyla; Cervidae. The record is from RNAcentral.